GAUGAACGCUGGCGGCGUGCCUAAUACAUGCAAGUCGAGCGAACAGACGAGGAGCUUGCUCCUCUGACGUUAGCGGCGGACGGGUGAGUAACACGUGGAUAACCUACCUAUAAGACUGGGAUAACUUCGGGAAACCGGAUCUAAUACCGGAUAACAUGUUGAACCGCAGGGUUCAACAGUGAAAGACGGUCUUGCUGUCACUUAUAGAUGGAUCCGCGUCGCAUUAGCUAGUUGGUAAGGUAACGGCCUACCAAGGCAACGAUGCGUAGCCGACCUGAGAGGGUGAUCGGCCACACUGGAACUGAGACACGGUCCAGACUCCUACGGGAGGCAGCAGUAGGGAAUCUUCCGCAAUGGGCGAAAGCCUGACGGAGCAACGCCGCGUGAGUGAAGAAGGUCUUCGGAUCGUAAAACUCUGUUAUUAGGGAAGAACAAAUGUGUAAGUAACUAUGCACGUCUUGACGGUACCUAAUCAGAAAGCCACGGCUAACUACGUG
This 497-nucleotide ribosomal RNA is filed under the name uncultured bacterium. RNAcentral describes it as "partial 16S ribosomal RNA". It matches the Rfam family "Bacterial small subunit ribosomal RNA", at positions 28 to 507 of the family's 1533-position model. The record is from RNAcentral.